GGUGGUUCUCAGGUGACGCACCCCAGAAUCGGGCUCCCUCCUCUCUGGUUCUGGGUGUGUCACCUGAGAACCAUA
Myotis lucifugus (little brown bat) is the source of this 75-nucleotide non-coding RNA. The record is from Rfam. Lineage: Eukaryota; Metazoa; Chordata; Mammalia; Chiroptera; Vespertilionidae.